CCCCCCCCCCCCCCCGCCCCAGUAGCUCCAAAACAAACAAACCCCACAUUCUCCAGUCUUAGGUCUUCAAGGAUGAACAGACAUUGCAGAAAGGCAUGGUUGGGAACAAAAAAAAUUGCUCUCCACUCCCCCAGCCCCCUCCACACCUUGGGCACAUUUCCCUGGAGCUGCCCCAGUGUUCUUUGUCAGUGUAGGAAGAAGCAAAAAUCUAAAUGGAGUCAGGAUGGCCUCCCACAUGGGCACAAGGGCAAGGCUGGGGACAGCUGGGUCUCCUCAUCUUAUUUCCCAGGUCUAGGCUGAUUUCUAUUAAUAAUUAAAUUAAUCAUUGUUCUCCUAGACCUCACUUCUUAAUGUGAUUCCAGGGAACUGGCCACAUUCCAAAAUUCAUAAUCUAAGGUAGUGAAAGAACGUGAACAUCAAGACAGUUUGGCUGGGCUCAGAGGCUCACAUCUGUAAUCCCAGUACUUUGGGAGGCCGAGGGUAGAUCCCUUGAGCCCAGGAGUUCGAGACCAGCCUGGGCAACAUGGCGAAAUCCCAUCUCUACAAAAAAUACAAAAAUUAGCCAGAUGUGGUGGCAUGUGCUUGUAGUCCCAGGUACUUGGGAGACUGCAGUGGAAGGAUUGCCUGAGCCCGGGAAAGGGAGGUUGCGGUGAAUGGUGAUCCCGCCACUGCACUCCAGCCUGGGUGACAGUGUAAGACUCUAUCUCAAAAACAAAACAAAACCAAAGAUUCAUUUCUUAUUGAUAAAGCAAGCUCCUUGGAGAAAGAUCUUGGAACCUCAUUGGGGGUGGGGGUGGGGGUGGGGCUUCUUCAAUCCAGCCGAGCUGGCUGUGAAACCCCCAGGCUUUGGUACCACGUGAGCUCCAGUCCCAGCUCUGACUGACUGUGUGAACUUGGCUAUGCAUUCAAAGGCCUCUGAGCCUCAGUUUCCUCAUCUGUAGAAGAGAUCCAGGAACCCGUCAUCCUGGCUAGCAGUGGAAGUCAAAGGUGCUCAUGGAAAGCCCUUGCUGGCUGGAACAAGGGAGGCGUGAACUGUGGAAGUCCUUGGAUCAAGGUCCUCCCCACUUCCCGCUGCCUUUUUGGUCCUUCUUGCGUGCUCUUUGUGAUUUAAUGGCUUAGUAGGUUGAAUCAUGUCCCCCCAAAGUUUAUCUCUACCCCAAAUCUCAGAAUGUGACCUUACUUGGAAAAAGAGUCUUUGCAGAUAUAAUUAAGGUAAGAGUCAAGAUAAAAUCACACUGAAUUAGGGUGAGCCCUACAUGCAAUGAGACUGUCCUUACAAGAUACAGAAAAGAACACAUAGAGACUUUGGGGGAAAGGAGACUAUGUGCAAGGAUGGCAGAGAUUGGAGCCGAGGAGUGCCUGGGCCUACCAGAGGCUGCAAGAGACAGGGAGGACCGUCCCCUAGAGCCUCCAGAGGGAACAGAGCCCUGCCCACACCUUGACUUUGGACUCCUGGCCUCCAGAACUGUGAGAGGGGCAGCCAGGGAAACCGAAACAAUGUCAUUUCCCCCCAGACAUCGGUGUGGCUCAGCUCAAUCCAGUUCACAACAAAUAUGAAAUCCCUGCCCUACAGGACCAGGCCUCAGGAAGGGCUUGGGGGCCGCAGAGGCAAAUGAGACCAGGUCCAUCGACCCUACAGAACUGACAACCGGGACUCCCCACUCUGAAGCAGGCAGGCUGCCUGAGGGAGGGGGCCUCCCUCAAGAGGAGAGGGCAGGCGCUGACCUCCCGGGCCCUCCAGCAUUCUCUGGUUCCUGGCCCCGAGAUUCUGGUUUUCCACACAGGGCACCUACUGUCUCCCCCUUCCCUGACUCUGCCCAUGCACAAGGUGACCCCGGCUGCAAGCGUGCCAGGAGCUUUUCCCCACCUCUGCCUCGACAUCUGCCGCCUCUCCUCCUCUGGAGAGGGAGGCAGCUGAAGGACACCAGCCCCACGCCUUGCUGGAGCGGCUGAGAUCGCUGGGAGGAGGUUGGGAGAGGACUCAGGGGCUCAGGCUAGAUCAGGAGGGUGGGCCCUGCCUGCUUGUGAGGGGGCCCAGCACCAGGGGGAGCCCACAGUCUAGGGUGCUGUUCAGCCAAAUUGGCUACCACUGGGUUUGAGGUCUGUGGUUGUGCAGGGUUGAAGAGCUGGGUGUCAUUUGCCUCUGAGGCCCCCAAGCCCUUCCUGAGGCCUGGUCCUAUAGGGCAAGGAUGGACUAUUUGUUGUAAACUGGGUUGCGCUGAGAGCCACACUCAUGUUUAGGGGGAAAUGCCAUUGUAUUGGUUUCCUGUGACUGCCCUACAAAUAACCACAAAGAGGCGAGGGGAGAAGUGGGGGCUGUCCCUUCCACAGAGCUGCAAUCAAGCACAAAUGACUCUAAUAGUAUCAAUUUUGAGAGAGAGAGAUUUGGAGUUCACCACAAAUUCCCCAAACAAACAAUUUUACAAGAAGGACGUGAUCUGCCUGGCGUUACUGCUUAGUUCUGAAUGAGUGAUACCGACUGCAGCAGGUGACCAGGCCAAGCCCAGAAAUGGGCCACGGGGACCCCAAGCACAUGCUCUUCCCCCAGACUGCCACCAUCUUGCUUUUCCUUCAGACCUAGGACCCCACGAGAGGAGGGAUCUGGAGGCCAAGCCAGGAGCAGGACAACACAAACAGAGGCCUCAGAAGAAGACUCAGAGUGGGACAGGGGCUCCUUAAGUGAUCGGGACUGGAAGUGCGCAGAGAAGCCCGGCACGGCAGGGAGUUGUCUCUCCCUGGGGUGCUGCCAAGAUGAAGAAACUGAGAUUUAGAGAAGCCACUUGCCCAGUGUAGACAGCGAGAAGGACAGGUCCAGGUCUGCUUGAUGAUGACGCCUGUGUCUUCUCUGCUGUGUGAUCCUAAUCACGUUGGGAGGUUCCUGAGGAAGCAGAGGAUUUUGCCCUUGCAUUAGAGCCACAGCAGCUCUACUGGGCAGAUACACUCACAGUCCCGGAUCAUCGCAUGGACUCAUUCCAGCAAUGUUGUCUGCAGGCCAGGUCUGCCAGAUGAAUCCCCGCCCCACUGGCAAUGGAUUCCGCAGCCCGUGGACACACUUUCUUCCUUCCCGUUCACGUGGCUAUUUCUCUGAGAACCAGCAGCAGUGCUAGGAGGAGGGAAGGAAGUUAUUGACUCUGUCACUCAUUAGCAUCUCCGAGGAAGUGUGACCAGGAGGAGGCUGGAGAGGCUGUCUAUCCGUGGUUUCCUGCUGUUGAACCCAUGGCUGGCCCUGAUGGAGGACACCUGCGGAAUAGGCACGUUGUCCACAACAUUCUCAAUCCUCAGCGUUCACUUGGAUCUUGUGCCGUGAUUACCACUCACAUGAACACUAGCCUCCGCCCCGCCUCGGCCCCGAGUAGACUGCGCUGGAAUGCUCCUCACCCUGUCGGCUUAUUAAUGGUUAGCAGCUGUUAAUAAGUGAGAGCACUGGAAAAGGCCAGCGCUUUGGAAACCUGGUUUCUGUACUUCCUAUCUGUGUGGGCUUGGGUGUGCCUUACUCCGUCUGUGCCUUGGUUUUCUCGCUAUGUAAUGCAUAAUGCCUUGCAGCAUUGCUGUGUGGCUCAAGGACCAUGAAUAUUGACGAUCCAGCGCACUGUAGGCACCCAAGAGCGGUGGACACUGAUACCAUUAUCAAUGGACUUGGGCCAGUAAAACAGGGAGGAAGUCAAGGCUCCUAAGUGAAACCAUUGAGUUGUUUGUUUUGAGAUGGAGUCUCGCUCUGUUGCCCAGGCUGGAGUGCAGUGGUGCAAUCUUGGCUCACUGCAACCCUCCGCCUCCCGGGUUCAAGCGAUUCUCCUGCCUCAGCCUCCCGGGUAACUGGGACUACAGGUGCACGCCACCACACCCAGCUAAAUUUUGUAUUUUUGGUAUAGAAGGGGGUUCACCAUGUUGGUCAGGCUGGCCUUAGGCUCUUGACCUCAAGUGAUCCACCCGCCUCGGCCUCCCAAAGUGUUGGGAUUAUAGGUGUGAGCCACUGCACCUGGCCGAAACCUUGAGUUUUAUGAACUUCAGUGCCAAUUUAUUACAGCCCUUGGGGUGUGGCCUGGGUUGGACUCUAAUGAAGAGAGUUGAAUCUCCUAGUAGUCAGCUGGCAUCUUAGCAUACACUGAAGCAAGGGUUGACAUUUUUAUGUGAGGACAGGCUUCAAAGUCUUUCGAGCUUCCUUGCUUGGUCCAGGGAACUGGGAAAGAAAAAUUUAAGGGAUUUACGCUGCCUUCUGGGUAGGAGUGUAACUUCCUGUUGCUGCUGUAACAAUAGUUACCACAUGCUCAGUUGCUUAAAACAACACAAAUUUAUUCUCUGACAGUUCUGGAGGCCAGAAGUUCAAAAUGAGCUCCAUGAGUUUAAAACCAAGGUGUCAUCAGGGCUGGUUCUUUUUUUUUUUUUUCUUGAGACCGAGUCUCACUCUGUCACCCAGGCUGCAGUGCAGUGGCGCAAUCUCCGCUCACUGCAAGCUCCGCCUCCCGGGUUCAAGUGAUUCUCCUGCCUCAGCUUCCCAAGUAGCUGGGACUACAGGCGCCCACCACCACGCCUGGCUAAUUUUUUGUAUUUUUAGUAGAGACAGGGUUUAACCAUGUUAGCCAGGAUGGUCUCGAUCUCCUGACCUUGCAAUCUGCCCGCCUUGGCCUCCCAAAGUGCUGGGAUGACAGGUGUGAGCCACUGCACCUGGCUAGGGCUGGUUCUUUCUGGAGGCUCAGAGGGGAAUCCAUUUCCUUGUCUUUUCCAGUUUCUAGAAGCUGCCUACAGUCCUUGGCUCAUGGCUACUUCUCUAUCUCCAAAGCACAUCACUCUGCCCUCUGCUUCCACAGUCACAUCCCCUUCUUUUACCUUUGAACCUCUUGUCUCCCUCUUUUCUUUUCUUUUUUUUUUUUUUUUUUUGAGACAGGGUUUCACUCUGUCACCCAGGCUGGAGCGCAGUGGUGUGUUCACAGCUCACUGCAGCCUUGACCUCUUGGGGCUCAAGUGAUCCUCCUGCCUCAGCCUCCAAGUAGGUGGGACCACAGAUGUAUACCACCAUGCCUAGCUAACUUCUUAAUUUUUUGUAGAGACGAGGUCUCCCUUUGUUGCCUAGGCUGGUCUUGAACUUACUCAGUAUCAUGAGAACAGCACGGGGGAAACUGCCCCCAUGAUUCAAUUACUUCCUACCAGGUCCCUCCCACAACACGUGGGCAUUAUGGGAUUACAAUUCAAGCUGAGAUUUGAGUGGGGACAGAAAGCCAAACCAUAUCAUUUCACCCCUGGCCCCUCCCAAAUGUCAUGUCCUCACACUUCAAAACACAAUCAUGCACUUCCAACGGUCCCCCAAAGUCUUAACUAUUCCAGCAUGAGCCCAAAAGUCCAAGUCCAAAGUCUCACCUGAGACAAGGCAAGUCCCUUUCACCUUUGAGCCUGUGAAAUCAAAAGCAGGUUAGUUACUUCCUAGAUACAAUGGGGGUACAGGCAUUGGGUAAAUGCACCCAUUCCAAAUGAGAGACAUUGGCCAAAACAAACGGGCUACAGGCCCCAUGCAAGUCCGAAAUCCAACGGGGCAGUCAUUAAACCUGAAAGUUCCAAAAUGAUCUCCUUUGAUUCCAUGUCUCACAUCCAGGUCACGCUGAUGCAAGAGGUGGGCUCCCACGCUCCUCCCAGCUGCUUUCAUGGGCUGGUGUUGAGUGUCUGUGGCUUUUCCAGGUGCACAAUGCAAGCUGUUGGUAGAUCUACCAUUCUGGGGCCUGGAGGAUGGUGGCUCUCUUCUCACAGCUCCACUAGGCACCGCCCCAAUGGGGACUCUGCGUGGGGGCUCCAAUCCCACAUUUCCCUCCUGCACUGCCCUAGCAGAGGUUCUCCAUAGCAGGGAGCUCCACCCCUGCAGCAAAUUUCUGCCUGGACAUCCAGGUGUUUUCAUACAUCCUCUGAAAUCUAGGUGGAGGUUCCCAAACCUCAAUUCUUUUUCCUUUUGGAGACAGAGUCUUGUUCUGUUGACCAGGCUGGAGUGCAGUGGCAUGAUCUCAGCUCACUGUAACGUCUGCCUCCCGGGCUCAAGCAAUUCUCCUGCCUCAGCCUCCUGACUAGCUGGGAUUACAGGGGUGUGCCACCACGCCUGGCUAAUUUUUGUAUUUUUAGUAGGGA
Long non-coding RNA from Gorilla gorilla gorilla (western lowland gorilla), 6105 nucleotides. RefSeq lists it as uncharacterized. The record is from RefSeq and is a predicted model, not a curated record. The transcript is spliced from 4 exons. Lineage: Eukaryota; Metazoa; Chordata; Mammalia; Primates; Hominidae.